UACGAGUGCCUCAAGCGUUAUCCGGAAUCAUUGGGCGUAAAGGUUGUGUAGGUGGUUGUUUUAGUCUUCUGUUAAAUUCUUCGGCUUAACCGGGGGCAUGCAGAGGAAACGGUACAACUAGAGGAUGCGAGGGGUCUGCGGAACUCAUAGUGUAGCGGUGAAAUGCGUUGAUAUUAUGGGGAACACCAAAAGCGAAGGCAGCAGACUGGAGCACUCCUGACACUGAAACAAGAAAGCGUGGGUCGCGAAUGGG
Molecule: ribosomal RNA, 253 nt
Filed under: uncultured bacterium
Lineage: Bacteria
Description: partial 16S ribosomal RNA
Rfam family: Bacterial small subunit ribosomal RNA
Source: RNAcentral